Molecule: long non-coding RNA, 1733 nt
Organism: Pogona vitticeps (central bearded dragon)
Lineage: Eukaryota; Metazoa; Chordata; Lepidosauria; Squamata; Agamidae
Source: Ensembl
AACUGGGGUCCACAGAUGUUCUUGGACUGCAGUUCCCAGAAGCCUUCACCACUUCCUGUGCUGGCCAGGAUUUCGGGGAGUUGCAGUCCAAGAACAUCUGGGGAGCCCAGUUUGAGAACCACUGGUCUAGACCUUAGGGAAAGACGCCUUUCGGCCACAGAGACCAGGCGGACCAGCACCUGUCUAAGGGCAACCCUAUGGCAGGAGUGGCGUAGAUUAGAACAUCCUUCCCCAUUGACUCCAGAUGUGUCAGACUACAAGCCCCAUUACCCCCAGCAUGCAGUCCGGAGGACCCCUUGCCCCAGAACGGAGAAAGGCUGAAGUCGAAUAAUGUGGAUUUACAACCAAAUUAUUGGAUCCGCCUCCCCUCCGCCCCCCGCUGGGAGUCUCCGCGGGAAAGGAUUUUUGCUCCGUUCUAACGUUCUGAACUAACUCGAGGGUUCCGAAUUCGAGAUCUUUCUCUUUUGCCCCGGGAUUCCCCGGGUGGGUUGCCGGCUUCGACCGAGGAACCGGGCUUUGCUGCCCGACGAAUGAGGCAGCGGUCAGCUUCAGGAUUUGGUAGGAAGUCGCUGCGGUUGGAACUGGGAUCCCCUCGCCCUCUAUAUCGGUGAAAGGGGGGAGAGUGUCCCAUAAUCCGCUGGCAGUUGCGUCGGAAGCGAACGGGACAAGGGCUUCUACUUUCUUCCACCUUCGCUUCUAGAAGGCCGCCUUCUAGCGCUCCUUGACCUCGUUGGCCAGCCGUGGGGCGGGUUUGGUUUAUCCCUGGAGUUUUGACUCCGAAGGAACUGUCCCCUUUCAGCCUGGGACUCCCCCACCCCAACUUCUUUCUUCGGACACUUUAACCACUCAGCUGGGUUGCCACUGGAGGGGGUUGACAAGGGUGGGGAGAAGGCAGGAGACCAAAACACCUCUCUGGUCAUCAUAGAGGGGGGAGCAGGGCAUCCACACGCGAUAAAACAGAGACUCCCUUAAUGCGCCCUGACCUCCAGGGUGGGAAGCCUAAAGCACAGAGAGGAGAAGCAAAUCUCUCUUUCUCUCUCUCUCUCUCUCCUCUUAAUCCCCCCUCCCCCUUUGACAGCUUUAGCAGCCAUGGCAAGUUUAGGAGAAGUCUUCCCCCUCCCCACAUGCUAUCUGAAGAGUUCAGUCUUCCCAUGACCUGUGAAACAGACCCACUGGGUUCCUUCAGGGCCAAAGAACUAACCAUGUUGGCCUUAAAAUUCUCAAGACCGGGAUUGCGUCCAGCAGAGAGAAGUCCUGUUCAGGGCCUGCACUUGCUUUCUUCAACCUCAGAUGGUGGAGGGGUGGGGACAUCCAGUUUUGUCCACAGCAGAUGGUCCUUGUGGUGGUACCUGAAGCUCCUGCUUGUGGCGGCUCCCUGAAAAGUAACAGUCAACACUUGGAAACAUUAUUCUCUCUCUUUUUCUUCUUUUCACUAUUACUCCAAGAACUCCCUUGACAACUUGGGGGUGGUUGGGAUUCUGGCAGUUGCAGUCUGAACAAACAACAUUUGCAAGCUCUGGGAGCAGCGCUAUAUUUGGACUCAGUUUAAGCUAACACAACAUUGUUGUCUUUCCCCAAAUCAAGCAAAUCAACGAAAAAUUGCACCUUCCUUUCAGAACCCAGGCUCAAAUUCUGAAAUAUGUGAAAUGUUAAGUGUACCAUUGAGCAUGUGCAUAGUACUUCCCCACCACCACACUCUUAUCACUCAUUCAUUGGAAGACCAGAGAGUGGAA